GGCUCCGGACGUGCAGGCUCAGCGGCCAUGGCUCACGGGCCCAGCCGCUCCGUGGCAUGUGGGAUCCUCCAGGACCGGGACACGAACCUGCUUCCCCUGCAUCGGCAGGCGGACCCUCAAUCACUGCGCCACCAGGGAAACCCUUAUACUGGUCUUUUGAUGUGCAUACAAACAGAAUUCUAUUGGUUAUAUACUGAGUUGGAUAAUUUCUGUGUCAUAAGUCAGACAUUUGUUGAACUUUAGUAGCUACUGUCAGUUUUCCAAAGUAGUUGUAUAAGUUUUCAUUUCCAUCAGCAGAAUAUGAUGAUUGCUGUUGCUUCACAUCCUAGCCAACAAUUGGCAUUGCUAGUCCUUUUAAUUUUCGUGAGAAUAGCAUUUACUUAAUAUUCAUUUCUUUGGUAUUUGUGAGGCCAAGAUACAUUUUAAAAAAUUUUAUUUUAUUCAAUUAUAGUUGAUUUAUAAUGUUGUGUUAAUUUCUGAUGUACAGCAAAGUGAUUCAGUUAUACGUAUAUACACUUUAUUUCAUAUUCUUUUCUACUAAGGUUUAUCACAGGAGAUAUAUAUAGAUAUAUAUGUAUAUCAUAUGCUAUACAGUAGGACUUUGUUGUUUAUCCAUUCUAUAUAUAACAUUUUGCAUCUGCUAAUCCCAAACUCCCACUCCAUCCCUCCCCCACCCUCCUCCCGUUGACAACCACAUGUUUGUUCUCUAUGUCUGUGAGUCUGUUUCAUAGGUAAGUUUGUGUCAUAUUUUAGAUUCCACAUAUAAGUGAUGUCAUAUGCUAUUUAUCUUUCUGUUUCUGACUUACUUCACUCAGUAUGAUAAUUUCUAGGUCCAUCCAUGUUGCUGCAAAAGGAAUUAUUUUAUUCUUUUUUAUGGCUGAGUAAUAUUCUAUUGUAUAUAUGUACCACAUCCUCUUUAUCCAUUCAUCUGUCAAUGGACAUUUAGUUUGUUUCCAUGUCUUGGCUAUUGUGGAUAGUGUUGUUGUGAACGUAGGGGUGUAUGUAUCUUUUUGAAUUAUAGUUUUAUUUGGGUAUAUGCCCAGGAGUGGGAUUGCUGGAUCACAUGGCAACUCUAGUUUUAGUUUUUUGAAGGAACCUCCAUACUGUUUUUCAUUGUAGCUGCACCAGUUUACAUUCCCACCAACAGAGUAGAAGUUUUCUCUUUUCUCCACACCCUCUCGAGCACUUGUUAUUUGUAGACUUUUGAAUGAUGGCCAUUCUGACUGGUGUGAGCCCAGGUUACUUUUUAUAUGCUUACUGGUCAUUUUGAGAAGCCUCUGUUCAAGUCUUUUGCUCAUUUCUUUGUUAUUGUGUUCUUAAUCUUGUUCUUAAUGAACACGUCAGCAAUAAUUUUUCCAAUCAGAUUCCUCCCAGAAUGAAAGAAGCUGAGAACAUCCAGCGCUCUGUAGAAGCUGUGGCUCUCAGAUGGGCAACUGGCGACUGUGUUUUGGUGCUGCAUUCUUCACAGAGUACAGGCUCCGGACGCGCAGGCUCAGUGGCCAUGGCUCACAGGCCCAGCUGCUCCGCGGCAUGUGGAACCUUCCCGGACCGGGUCACGAACCCGUGUCCCCUGCAUCGGCAGGCGGACUCUCAACCACUGCGCCACCAGGGAAGCCCUAAAUCACCGGAGAUACUGAAAUUUUAGAGAAGAAAAAUAAACCCUUUUCUUCGAUGCAAUAUAUUCUACAGAAGAGUGAAGCGUGUGCAUUUCCAUCAGAACAGGACUUACCUGCUUUUAACAGUACAACAUGGAUGCUUAAAAUUUGAGGCCACAAUUUUCAAAUGGCAAUCGUUACAGGCAAUUCAUCUUCAUGUAGCAGAAAAAGAUGUUCUUGCAUCUAUAUACUCCUGAUAUUGGCAGGCAAUACUACUUUUUCUUUUUUUCGUUGAGAAAUCGAGAGGAAGGAAAGUUUCUGAAUUUUUACUGAACAUUUCCAUCUUUAUCAUUUUAGCUCUGGGAGACAGUGUCACAGUAAAACUACAAAGUAUCCCACGAGGCUUUUCUAAGUGAAGUCAUUUGACAGAGGUGAUUUGCUGCUGACCUCACUUCUCUUGGACAUAACAGCAAUUGCACUGCCUUUGAUCACAACUGUCAAAAUACAGUAUUCUGUAUUAUUUGUCCAAGUCUGGCACACCACUGCAUGUGGAUACAUGACUGUUCUUGGAAUUUUGAAACAUUGCUGACAGAAACUCAUACAAGAUAAUAGGCUAGCAGCAGUGGUAGGGAACAUAAGAGGAAAGUUAUUCAGUGACUCUACCAAGAGUUUACUGAGAAUUUACUAUGCAUGUGACUAUAUACAGCCAUAUGGGGGAUACAAAGACAGAUUACUUCAGAAAAUGAUAUAAGGGCAUAAUGAUAGAUUGUGCCAGUUGAAUCCCAAAGAGACUAGUAGCAUCGCACUUCUAGAAUGCCAUUUUAGAGUUCAAAUUUUCUGCUUUGGACUGGAGGAUGUGUCUUCUGGUGCCUGCCAUGUUGCCUCACAUGGUCACCAUUUUCAAGGGUAGUGACUGUGCUGAAUGCUUUCCAUUUAUUCCAUCGAGUGCCACUUUCCACCCCCUUUCCACCCUACUCCACGCCCCAGGAUGCUGAUUCUAGGCCAGAGAUUCCCAGUUCUCUGGAUUCAGGUUGUGUUCAGCCAAUGAGAAGCACAGACAGGAGAGUGAGGUUAGGCAAUGUUUUCUUCAGCCUUCCUUCCAAGUGUUGGCAGCCUCCCUCUACCGGAGGCCAAAAUUGCUCUCAGCAAUCCUUCUCCAAACCAUGCCAUUUUCAAGUUCCAAGUUCAAGUCACUGCUUCUUUCUCACCUAGGGAUAGCAGCUCUGUCAGUUGUUAGCCUCAGAUUAAGCACUAUCCCUUUGUAAAUCAUUCCUUUAUUAGACUCUCUUCAAAUUCCUCAGUUUCAGUGUGGCAUCUUUUCUUACCAGGACUCCAGGUGAUGCAGCACCUAAACCUGCAGGUUGGGAUGUAUCUAUAAAGCCCAUACUUUCAAAUUAGUAGACUUGUAGUAUUACAAGUCCAAGGGUCCUAUGAUAAAGAAGAUGCAUAUAUAUGACGGUGUGAUUUGAGAUACUUGGUUCACGACUCUUUGAGUACUUGAUAAUUGCGGAAAGGAGCCAGGUUGACCUUGUUCACAUUUUUCCUAAUUAAAAGAGAUUCACUGAAAAAGAUUGGGAUGACAGGCUGACUUCAUGUUUCCAUUUCUGGGAAUGUUUCCUGGUUUAUGCAAUCACAGUAGGAUAAGUGUUUAAAAGAGGCAGUUUGCCAUAUAAAUUUGUAAUGAUUUUCUGGAUUUUAAAGAUAGGAGAUAAGUUG
This is a long non-coding RNA of Globicephala melas (long-finned pilot whale), 3311 nucleotides long. RefSeq lists it as uncharacterized. The record is from RefSeq and is a predicted model, not a curated record. Lineage: Eukaryota; Metazoa; Chordata; Mammalia; Artiodactyla; Delphinidae.